Molecule: ribosomal RNA, 485 nt
Filed under: uncultured bacterium
Lineage: Bacteria
Description: partial 16S ribosomal RNA
Rfam family: Bacterial small subunit ribosomal RNA
Source: RNAcentral
GACGAACGCUGGCGGCGUGCUUAACACAUGCAAGUCGAACGAUGAACCGGGUGCUUGCACUCGGGGAUUAGUGGCGAACGGGUGAGUAACACGUGAGCAACCUGCCCCCGACUCUGGGAUAAGCGCUGGAAACGGCGUCUAAUACUGGAUAUGUCCCGUCACCGCAUGGGGUGCGGGUGGAAAGAUUUUUCGGUUGGGGAUGGGCUCGCGGCCUAUCAGCUUGUUGGUGAGGUAAUGGCUCACCAAGGCGUCGACGGGUAGCCGGCCUGAGAGGGUGACCGGCCACACUGGGACUGAGCCACGGCCCAGACUCCUACGGGAGGCAGCAGUGGGGAAUAUUGCACAAUGGGCGGAAGCCUGAUGCAGCAACGCCGCGUGAGGGAUGACGGCCUUCGGGUUGUAAACCUCUUUUAGCAGGGAAGAAGCGAGAGUGACGGUACCUGCAGAAAAAGCACCGGCUAACUACGUGCCAGCCGCCGCAGUAA